Molecule: ribosomal RNA, 253 nt
Filed under: uncultured bacterium
Lineage: Bacteria
Description: partial 16S ribosomal RNA
Rfam family: Bacterial small subunit ribosomal RNA
Source: RNAcentral
UACAGAGGGUGCGAGCGUUAAUCGGAGUUACUGGGCGUAAAGGGCGCGUAGGCGGUAGUUUAAGAUUGGUGUGAAAGCCCUGGGCUCAACCUAGGAAGCGCACCAAAGACUGGACUGCUGGAGUACUGUAGAGGGUGGCGGAAUUUCCGGUGUAGCGGUGAAAUGCGUAGAGAUCGGAAAGAACACCAGUGGCGAAGGCGGCCACCUGGACAGAUACUGACGCUGGGGCGCGAGAGCGUGGGGAGCAAACAGG